GGAAUGUAGCUCAGUGAUAGAGCACUUGCUUAGCAUGUGCAAGGCCCUGGGUUCAAUCCUCAGUACCA
This 68-nucleotide transfer RNA is filed under the name Marmota monax (woodchuck). Its description in RNAcentral is "tRNA.Ala". The record is from RNAcentral. Lineage: Eukaryota; Metazoa; Chordata; Mammalia; Rodentia; Sciuridae.